CUGGUAUGCUGUGGUUUUAAUAGGCAUUGUCUUUAUUAUUUUUAUGGGUGCCUUUAUAAAGUGCUGUGCAGUUCAUACUCCAUCUAGUAACCCCAAAAAACCACCAGCAAGACACCUUAGUGAGACACUACGAAGACCGAUGAAUACCUUGAGAAGAAUGCGACAUCCAUACACAAAUAGAGGAGAUGGUGAGGCUCGAAGUAUUCCAUCAAGACCCGGCCAUGUGUUUAACGAAUCUCAAGGUCUGUCGCACAGCCAUUGUGAAGGACGAAGAUCGCAAUACUUUUCGAAAGGAUAUCGCUCGAUUCCCACAGCUAGUGCACCAUCAGACAGCUACAACGGAUCAGUCAUAGCAGCAUCACAAUCCAAUAGUGGCCAAGCAAGAGUCAGUUGUAGCUCAGGCCUCGAACACAACCAUCAUCCAGAACUCUAUGCCAGUGCCUACUUGACCGGCCGAAGUGGUCGGAACUUAAGCAACCAAAUGAGGCAUCAUAACAUUUGAUGCAACAGCUUGAUCUUUUUUUGCAUCUCAAUCUUUUAUUAUCUCUAAAUCUUCUUCAUCGCCUGUGCUCUAGGGCUCUUUUGUGGUUUCUUUUGACAAUAUUAAA
This 608-nucleotide unclassified non-coding RNA is filed under the name Copidosoma floridanum. RNAcentral describes it as "uncharacterized LOC111643060, transcript variant X3". The record is from RNAcentral. Lineage: Eukaryota; Metazoa; Arthropoda; Insecta; Hymenoptera; Encyrtidae.